AUGACCUUAGUGUUCACCUUGAUGCUUGAGGUGCUCCUGUUCCUGAGAGGAGCCGGAGCCCAGUCGGUGACCCAGCCUGACAGCCACAUCACUGUCUCUGAAGGAGCCCGUCUGGAGCUGAGGUGCAGCUACUCAUCUUCUGCUUCAUUCUAUCUCUUCUGGUAUGUGCAGUACCCCAAUCAAGGACUCCAGCUUCUCCUGAAGUACAUAUCUGGAAACAGCCUUGUCUCAGGUAUCAAAGGUUUUGAAGCUGAAUUUAGGAGGAGUGAGAAGUCCUUCCACCUGAGGAAAACAUCAGCCCGUUGGAAAGACUCGGCCAAGUACUUCUGUGCUCUGAGUGACACAGUGACUAAGACUACAGUGGGAGCUGAACACAAAUCUCCUGAGACAUAG
This is a non-coding RNA of Lipotes vexillifer (Yangtze River dolphin), 393 nucleotides long. The record is from the annotation of a RefSeq genome assembly. Lineage: Eukaryota; Metazoa; Chordata; Mammalia; Artiodactyla; Lipotidae.